CCCAGCGGUCUCUUCCUCUCCGUCGCUCCGUCGCUCCGUCGACUGUGUCAACAAGUGGACGCCGCGCCGGAGCCUCCGGGACCGAAAAGGCAAAGCUCGGCGCCGCUGAGCAGACCUGCCAAAAGGAAUUCUGCCUCUGUCUGGUCCCUCAACGAGAUGCCACAGCGAGGGGAAAGGAGGAUGUCGUCACCCAUUCUGCCCUCCGCGCCCACGUGGGCGUACUCGCGUGCUCGAGCUCAUCCGUGCAGAUGUUCCGCGAUCUCGGCUAGAGACCGUAUGUAUGUCGCAGACAUCAGCAAAGGACGUCAGAACCCAAGCGCCAGCCGACCCAGUUACGCUUGCGGAGUCACGUGACGUCACCUCGCGUCGAAGGCAAGCGGAAAAGACAUCGACGCGGGCAAUGCUAGCGUGCGUUAGCGAGGCUCCGUCGUGCUUUUAAAAAACAUUUUUGGAGACGUCCCGGCUGCUCCGCUCAUGCUGUAGAGACCACUAAAGCAGUUUUUAGUGGAGCCAUCAAUGACCGGUUGCGCAAUUACAUCGAGACGAUAUCGCAGCUUCUGUUCUGACAAUACGUGGGAAACGUGAUCUGUUACCCACAUUUUGUCGCUCUCUGCUUAGGACUGUGCAACGGCAGCCCAGAGCGCGUCGACUGUUGCGCAAGCCGAGUGCCGAGGUGGCCCGUCGGAACUGAUUUCAGCAUUUUAGGACUUGAAGGCAGUCAACUGUGAUGUCGGGAGAUGAGAGAAGUCCAGCUCAGAAGCGUACAAUCGGCGAGUGAGCGACAUUUGGAGGGCGCGUGAAGAUGAAUCCUGAGCAGGAUUCAGUCCAAGAAACAGCACCGCGCUUCAUCUCAUGAGGAGCGUUUAGGACGGGAGGCCAAAACUUCCGCAGACAUUAAAAGACGAUCGGGCGCCACGAUGAGACCAAAGGUCCUUUUUUUUUUUUUUUCAGAUUUUAGCCAAACUCUUGGGGAUGAUGCGAAAAGGCAAAACCUCGACCUCCCAAUUAAUUUGCUCCCGGGGGCGGCGCUCUUUUGGUGGUGUGCGACAUUCACUUAAUAUUUCAUGCUAUCAUUCGUAAUCCAAUCUUUUUGAAUCAUCCUCGUCGGCACCGCGCGUGUGCCGAAAGCUCCUUCACGAUUCAAAGUGUGCAAAUCGCGUUUGGGGGGGCUGUAAUUGGUGAUCCUCAGCACCCGCGUCAACUCGUGCGUGACAAUAUCUUCAUUAGCGAUCCAAUUAAUUGAUCUUUUCUCGAACGUGUGCGUGCACAUCAAAUUCAUCAGAUUCAGUCGACGUGGCGGCUCAGCACCGAGCAAAAAUGUCACUUCGCGGCGAUCCGUUUGUCUCGAUGUGCAGUGCUCAGAAAUUUCGUUAACGUUGAGUUUUUCCACUUUUCCCGGACCUCAACUCACGGCGCGGCGCCAAAGCGGGCGUCCCGCUAGGAAAACGGUGCUCAAUGAAAUAAGACUAAGCGCAAGAAUAAUUCUUUGUAUUGUGAUUCAAUACUGAGUCUCCUCGGACUCCAAACGAAAGCGCCAAUCUGUUAUUUCCACGUGUGGCCGUAUUAGCGGCGGCUCAGCCGGCCCGGCCCGGCCCGGCCCACGUUGUCCGUUUGAGUGGCUCCGCUGAGCUUUUAUUGAUUUUUCCCACACUGGUCUUUUGUGGCUCGCUCGCCUCCCGCGUUUCCUCUUCGUUGACUCCCUACGUACUUUUCUGGCCCUCAUUUCCUCUCCGCCGUUGUUGCCAUUUGGUCUAAGCUGACAUUUUCCUCCCUGAUAUUUUUCUCUCUCUCGCUGCUGUCUCCUUCCCUCAAACCAUCUCAGCCUCGUGUGCGCCUCCCGCACCUCCAAUGAUUCACUGUAUUUGCACGUGAAGUACUGGCGCUCGCUCCAAUCCGGGAGUACGCGCAGCGUCCUUCGCGUCGCUAGUCCGACAGAAAAGAGUCGUCUCGUGUGAAGACUCACCGGCAGCGGCAGGAGACGUGUGAUUUAUGCAGCGCGUCAGGAGUUAAGACCCGUGUCUUGGCCGCAGCUUUACAAGCGCUAUAAUUCACUCCCGCACUCUGCGAGGUCUGCAUCAAAGACGGAAAACAGACACAAAGCGUCGGGAAGUUCACACCGUCGUACGGUAGACGCAGAACGACUGCGGUGGCGGGUCGUGCAUUUGGCCUUCGGGGGGAAUUUCCCCGAGUUUAUUGCCGCCGUUUUUAUGGCGCGAUGCAAAAACAACAGCGGGUGACUGGAAUCCAAGUUUCAAUCCUACUGUAACAAACACCACAAGUGCAGCCAAGAGAAACACUUGGGAGCAAACGAAUAACACGUCACGGACCGAGUAUUAGAACCGAGGUUGCAAAAGUGCCGAUGUCGGUCGGGCUUCCGAUAAUGUCGAGGUGGACGGAGACGUGCCACCCGCCACCGCUCGCUUGUCUUGCGUGAUUUGAAAAGGUGCACAUCAGGGAUAUGUGCCGUCACCCCGCUCCAUUUCACCAGGUUGACCUUUUCCGUCGAGGAGAGCGCUGGGCGGCGCCGUCGUCGGCCACCGCUUUGGCGAAGGAUCCGUGGAUGGCAUGACCGAGCGUGCGACCGUCACCGAGUCAAAUUUUCCGUUUUUUUGGCCUUUGGUCUUUCUCACGAAUCUUUGGAACAACUGCUCUGAAAUCAUGUCCAUUGGCAUGUGAGCUGGAUUCACUUUUGCUUUCCUUCCUCG
Long non-coding RNA from Syngnathoides biaculeatus (alligator pipefish), 2705 nucleotides. RefSeq lists it as uncharacterized. The transcript is spliced from 3 exons. The record is from RefSeq and is a predicted model, not a curated record. NCBI's taxonomy places the organism in Eukaryota, Metazoa, Chordata, Actinopteri, Syngnathiformes, Syngnathidae.